UGAUUCACAGUGUGUCUAAAGAGGUGAAUUGGGCACACAAAACCCAACCUCCUCUUGCCAGGGUGGGUAUGAAAUAUGAAAGCUAGACGAUUGUCUGGGCUCAGUGCAUUGGAAUAACAUUGGUUAAAUUAUGGAUAGUUUUUGAAUAGUGUCACUUUUUUUUUCUCUGCAGAUGGUUGUUCACACAAGGAGCCGGGUCUGCAUAAUUGUAUCACUAAUCAGCAGUAAGGCAAUUAGUUGUGAUGAGAAAAACAGGAAUAAUCUCUGGGAGAAUUCCCAUGCAUUGUGGAAUCUUGGACAGACAGUCAAACUGGAGGUGCCAUUAAGUGGUGUCUAAUUGGAGCCUGUUGAAGGAGGGGAGUCACAAGGGACGAUUCUCUGGGCUCACAGGCAGCUUGGGCAUGCAUAUGCCUGUGAAGAAAUAAUUCAGAGAAGUACCCAGGAAAGUGAGCUCCCUACUAGGGCCUGAGGGCAGGGCUUCUCCCUACAGGCAGGUGGGGCUUUAGGGAUAGUGGACGGAGCCAGGUUCCUCAGAGAGAGCCCAGCAGACAGGAGGGACACCCAAGGUGCUUCCAGUGUCCCCUUGCCCCUAAAUGUAGCCCAUGUUCCUUGUCUUUACCACCUCAGCUUAACUGCUAAAGAGAUGGGAUUGAAAUGGAAGGAAAAACGGGGACGUGAAUUUGCAGUUAUCUUCACCCUCUGCAAAGCACCAUCUAUGAUGCUACCUCUUAGCUGCUACAUUGAAGAUGCUACAAAGGAUAAUUUUAUUUAGGAUCAAUUUUAAAAGUUACAAGGAUGUCAUUAAUUCAUAUUUCAGUUUUCCAUAUUUCAAUUCUCUUUUCAAGCACCUUAUCAUUCCCCUUGAAAUGGAGUGUGGACAC
Molecule: long non-coding RNA, 881 nt
Filed under: Pan troglodytes (chimpanzee)
Lineage: Eukaryota; Metazoa; Chordata; Mammalia; Primates; Hominidae
Description: long non-coding RNA NONPTRT006050
Source: RNAcentral